AAUAUGAUUAGAUACCCUGGUAGUCCACGCCGUAAACGAUGUCGACUUGGAGGUUGUGCCCUUGAGGCGUGGCUUCCGGAGCUAACGCGUUAAGUCGACCGCCUGGGGAGUACGGCCGCAAGGUUAAAACUCAAAUGAAUUGACGGGGGCCCGCACAAGCGGUGGAGCAUGUGGUUUAAUUCGAUGCAACGCGAAGAACCUUACCUGGUCUUGACAUCCACAGAACUUUCCAGAGAUGGAUUGGUGCCUUCGGGAACUGUGAGACAGGUGCUGCAUGGCUGUCGUCAGCUCGUGUUGUGAAAUGUUGGGUUAAGUCCCGCAACGAGCGCAACCCUUAUCCUUUGUUGCCAGCGGUCCGGCCGGGAACUCAAAGGAGACUGCCAGUGAUAAACUGGAGGAAGGUGGGGAUGACGUCAAGUCAUCAUGGCCCUUACGACCAGGGCUACACACGUGCUACAAUGGCGCAUACAAAGAGAAGCGACCUCGCGAGAGCAAGCGGACCUCAUAAAGUGCGUCGUAGUCCGGAUUGGAGUCUGCAACUCGACUCCAUGAAGUCGGAAUCGCUAGUAAUCGUGGAUCAGAAUGCCACGGUGAAUACGUUCCCGGGCCUUGUACACACCGCCCGUCACACCAUGGGAGUGGGUUGCAAAAGAAGUAGGUAGCUUAACCUUCGGGAGGGCGCUUACCACUUUGUGAUUCAUGACUGGGGUGAAGUCGUAACAAGGUAACC
Molecule: ribosomal RNA, 730 nt
Filed under: uncultured bacterium
Lineage: Bacteria
Description: bacterial SSU rRNA
Rfam family: Bacterial small subunit ribosomal RNA
Source: RNAcentral